GAUGAACGCUGGCGGCGUGCCUAAUACAUGCAAGUCGAGCGAACAGACGAGGAUCUUGCUCCUCUGACGUUAGCGGCGGACGGGUGAGUAACACGUGGAUAACCUACCUAUCAUACUGGGAUAACUUCGGGAAGCCGGCGCUAAUACCGGAUAAUAUAUUGAACCGCAUGGUUCAAUAGUGACAGUCGGUUUUGCUGUCACUUAUAGAUGGAUCUGCGCCGCAUUAGCUAGUUGGUAAGGUAACGGCUUAUCAAGGCGAGUAGGCGUAGCCGACGUGUGUGGGGGGUCGGCGGCAUUGGAAGGGAGACAGCGUCAUGACUACUGAGAGAGGGAGCAGUAGGGAAUCUGCCGCAACGGGGGAAAGCAUGACAGAGUAGCGGCGCGUGAGUGAUGAAGGUCUUCGGAUCGUAAAACUCUGUUAUUAGUUAAGAACAAAUGUGUAAGUAACUAUGCACGUCUUGACGGUACCGAAUCAGAAAGCCACGGCUAACUACGUG
RNAcentral lists this ribosomal RNA (497 nucleotides) under uncultured bacterium. RNAcentral describes it as "partial 16S ribosomal RNA". It matches the Rfam family "Bacterial small subunit ribosomal RNA", at positions 28 to 507 of the family's 1533-position model. The record is from RNAcentral.